This 253-nucleotide ribosomal RNA is filed under the name uncultured bacterium. RNAcentral describes it as "partial 16S ribosomal RNA". It matches the Rfam family "Bacterial small subunit ribosomal RNA", at positions 524 to 776 of the family's 1533-position model. The record is from RNAcentral.
UACGUAGGGUGGGAGCGUUAAUCGGAAUUACUGGGCGUAAAGCGUGCGCAGGCGGUCAUGCAAGACAGAUGUGAAAUCCCCGGGCUUAACCUGGGAACAGCAUUUGUGACUGCACGGCUUGAGUGCGGCAGAGGGGGAUGGAAUUCCGCGUGUAGCAGUGAAAUGCGUAGAUAUGCGGAGGAACACCGAUGGCGAAGGCAAUCCCCUGGGCCUGCACUGACGCUCAUGCACGAAAGCGUGGGGAGCAAACAGG